This 105-nucleotide ribosomal RNA is filed under the name Hucho hucho (huchen). Lineage: Eukaryota; Metazoa; Chordata; Actinopteri; Salmoniformes; Salmonidae. The record is from RNAcentral.
ACCAGCAGCAUAUCACCCUGCAUCCCACUGCCUGCUGGCUGCUUCUGAAGCUAAGCAGGGUUGGUCCUGGUCAGUCCCUGGACAUGAGACCAGAUGCUGCUAGAA